AUAUCAGUCAUGCAUAGCAUAUCAAUAAGCGGAGGAAAAGGAACUAACAAGGAUUCCCUUAGUAACGGCGAGUGAAGCGGGAAGAGCUCAAAUUUGAAAUCUUCAAGGUUUUACCUUGACGAAUUGUAGUUUAAAGAAGUGUUUUCUGUUGAAGUUUUGGUAAAAGUUCUUUGGAAUAGGACAUCAUAGAGGGUGAGAAUCCCGUAUUUGACCAUUAUUUUCAGCUGUGUGAUACACUUUCAAAGAGUCGGAUUGUUUGGGAAUGCAGUCCAAAAUGGGUGGUAAAUUUCAUCUAAAGCUAAAUAUUGGCGAGAGACCGAUAGCGAACAAGUACCGUGAGGGAAAGAUGAAAAGAACUUUGAAAAGAGAGUUAAACAGUACGUGAAAUUGUCAAAAGGGAAGCGUUUGACACCAGUGUUGUUUUCUCGAAAAUCAAUUAAAAAAAGUUGGAUUUUGUGUUGUAUUGACCUUAACAGCUUACUGCACUCUUUUCCUGCUUUUUUUAAUGCACUUUUCGUUUAACAAGUCAACAUCAGUUUCUUUUGUUGUAAAAGGGUCAUUGGAAGGUGGCUUUCUUUUCGGAGAAAGUGUUUAUAGCCUUUGAUCUCUGCAAUCGGAGAGACUGAGGUCUGCAGCGUAGAUCCUUCGGGGUUAGAUACAUUUGUGCUAAGUUAUAACUUUUCAUAGACAACUUGUUGACUAUGUUUUAGUCAUGUAGCUUACUCGCUUAUGCUAUUUUACCUACGCUUAGGAUGUUGAAGAUGUAGCACAUCAU
This 775-nucleotide ribosomal RNA is filed under the name uncultured Neocallimastigales. RNAcentral's name for it is "partial large subunit ribosomal RNA". It matches the Rfam family "Eukaryotic large subunit ribosomal RNA", at positions 22 to 635 of the family's 3401-position model. The record is from RNAcentral. Lineage: Eukaryota; Fungi; Neocallimastigomycota; Neocallimastigomycetes; Neocallimastigales.